This 66-nucleotide transfer RNA is filed under the name Brachyrhaphis rhabdophora. Its description in RNAcentral is "tRNA-Cys". The record is from RNAcentral. Lineage: Eukaryota; Metazoa; Chordata; Actinopteri; Cyprinodontiformes; Poeciliidae.
AGCUCCGAGGUGUCAUCACAUCAGAUUGCAAAUCUGAAGAGGCAGGAGAAAUACUUGCCGGGGCUU